GAAUAUACACAAAAAUGUACAAUCAUAUACACAACUAAAUCAUGUAUCAUCUCGUAUCUCAACACCCCCCCUCAAGUUGGAGGGGGAGACCACCUGCAACUUGGUGAGCAGCGGAAGGAGUAAAGUGCCAGGUAGGGGCUUAGUGAGCAAGUCGGCCAGCUGACGAGAAGUAGGCACAUGAAGCAACUUGAUAAAACCAGAAAGCAACAAGUCCCGAACAAAAUGGCAAUCCANNN
RNAcentral lists this long non-coding RNA (236 nucleotides) under Nicotiana benthamiana. Its description in RNAcentral is "long non-coding RNA (NBEN_LNC004015)". The record is from RNAcentral. Lineage: Eukaryota; Viridiplantae; Streptophyta; Magnoliopsida; Solanales; Solanaceae.